GUGGAGGAGGAGUGCAGUGUGAGAGUGGAGGAGGAGCGCAGUGUGAGAGUGGAGGAGGUGUGCAGUGUGAGAGUGGAGGUGGAGUGCAGUGUGAGAGUGGAGGUGGAGUGCAGUGUGAGAGUGGAGGAGGAGUGCAGUGUGAGAGUGGAGGAGGAGUGCAGUGUGAGAGUGGAGGUGGAGUGCAGUGUGAGAGUGGAGGAGGAGUGCAGUGUGAGAGUGGAGGUGGUCUCACUUGCUACCAGCUCUUUCAAGCUGGCAUGCUAGAGCACUUCCUAGGCUCACACCAGUGUCAACUCUUGACUCCCUAACACUGGCAUUUUCUACCAUCCCUUGGAAAAGGAGCUGGACAGCUUUUAGCACUCAGCACAUCUGAUACCCUCCUGGUGCUAGCAUACUAAGUAACUCUGCCUUCAACAAAGGCAGCAUCCUCCAGGUGCUGGAAGACUUUUUUAUCCAGGUCAUAGGGCUAAGUUGGGUGUCCCUUGUUUUACCUGUCAUUCUUCCCCAAGGCCUCUCCUUCUGUUAGUUCUCAAAGCUAGCACUUCUUCAGUGUGUACUUGUAUACAGUAUACAGAGUAACCUAUUUACUUGAAGACUCAUCCUGCAGCACAGAGUGAGGUACCUGACUCUGCCCCCAUUUAGGUGGCGAGGAAAUUAUUUGCUCAAAGAGCACCCUCUAGCACCAAGAGGCCAAGGAAACCUAGGUAGGACCUUUUUGUUCUUUGGCUUUCUCAUGGUUCUUUUUUUCCAGUGCUGGGUCAAACCCAGGGCUGUGUGAGUGCUAGCUAGGCAAGCACUGUGUCCAC
Molecule: long non-coding RNA, 806 nt
Filed under: Rattus norvegicus (Norway rat)
Lineage: Eukaryota; Metazoa; Chordata; Mammalia; Rodentia; Muridae
Description: long non-coding RNA NONRATT005714
Source: RNAcentral